CAGCAGCCGCGGGAAUACGAAGGGUGCAAGCGUUACUCGGAAUUACUGGGCGUAAAGCGUGCGUAGGUGGUGGUUUAAGUCCGUUGUGAAAGCCCUGGGCUCAACCUGGGAAUUGCAGUGGAUACUGGGUCACUAGAGUGUGGUAGAGGAUAGUGGAAUUUCCGGUGUAGCAGUGAAAUGCGUAGAGAUCGGAAGGAACAUCUGUGGCGAAGGCGACUAUCUGGGCCAACACUGACGCUGAUGGACGAAAGCGUGGGGAGCGAACAGGAUUAGAUACCCCAGUAGUCCCUGUCUCUUAUAC
RNAcentral lists this ribosomal RNA (301 nucleotides) under uncultured bacterium. Its description in RNAcentral is "partial 16S ribosomal RNA". It matches the Rfam family "Bacterial small subunit ribosomal RNA", at positions 509 to 807 of the family's 1533-position model. The record is from RNAcentral.